This 496-nucleotide ribosomal RNA is filed under the name uncultured bacterium. RNAcentral's name for it is "partial 16S ribosomal RNA". It matches the Rfam family "Bacterial small subunit ribosomal RNA", at positions 28 to 506 of the family's 1533-position model. The record is from RNAcentral.
GAUGAACGCUGGCGGCGUGCCUAAUACAUGCAAGUCGAGCGAACGGACGAGAAGCUUGCUUCUCUGAUGUUAGCGGCGGACGGGUGAGUAACACGUGGAUAACCUACCUAUAAGACUGGGAUAACUUCGGGAAACCGGAGCUAAUACCGGAUGAUAUUUUGAACCGCAUGGUUCAAAAGUGAAAGACGGUCUUGCUGUCACUUAUAGAUGGAUCCGCGCUGCAUUAGCUAGUUGGUAAGGUAACGGCUUACCAAGGCAACGAUGCAUAGCCGACCUGAGAGGGGGAUCGGCCACCCUGGAACUGAGACACGGCCCAGACCCCCACGGGAGGCAGCAGUAGGGAAUCUUCCGAAAGGGGCGAAAGCCUGACGGAGCAACGCCGGGUGGGUGAAGAAGGUUUUGGGAUCGUAAAACUCUUUUAUUAGGGAAGAACAUAUGUGUAAGUAACUGUGCACCUUUGGACGGUACCAAAGCAGAAAGCCCCGGCUAACUCCGG